AUUGAACGCUGGCGGCAGGCCUAACACAUGCAAGUCGAGCGAGCGGCGGACGGGUGAGUAAUGUCUGGGAAACUGCCUGAUGGAGGGGGAUAACUACUGGAAACGGUAGCUAAUACCGCAUACCAUCAGAUGUGCCCCGAUGGGGUUAGCUAGUAGGUGGGGUGAUGGCUCACCUAGGCGACGAUCCCUAGCUGGUCUGAGAGGAUGACCAGCCAAACUGGAACUGACACACGGUCCAGACACUGACGGAGGGAAGCAGUGGGGAAUAUUGAACAAUGGGCGCAAGCCUGAUGCAGCCAUGCCGGGUGUAUGAAGAAGGCCUUCGGGUUGUAAAGUACUUUCAGCGAGGAGACGUUACUCACGGAAAAAGCACCGGCUAACUCCGUGCCAGCGGCCGCGGUAUAC
This 405-nucleotide ribosomal RNA is filed under the name uncultured bacterium. RNAcentral's name for it is "partial 16S ribosomal RNA". It matches the Rfam family "Bacterial small subunit ribosomal RNA", at positions 30 to 526 of the family's 1533-position model. The record is from RNAcentral.